Long non-coding RNA from Myiozetetes cayanensis, 3684 nucleotides. RefSeq lists it as uncharacterized. The record is from RefSeq and is a predicted model, not a curated record. NCBI's taxonomy places the organism in Eukaryota, Metazoa, Chordata, Aves, Passeriformes, Tyrannidae. The transcript is spliced from 6 exons.
AAGGCGCGCAGCUCCGGCAGGCUGAUGUUGAAGAUGCGGCUGAAGUUGUGCAGGGUCCGGUUCCAGCGGAGCUGCGCCUCCGCCUCCGACGGGCUCUCGAGGGCCGAGAAGACGGUGGCGCCGGCGCUCAGCUGGGAUCCAGUCCCCAACACGUUCCCAGAAGCACUUGCCUUGCUGCAGCAGAGCGUGGUGAAGAGUGGAGGAGGAAUGUCUGUCUGGGAGCCCGGAGUCCUGAAUCUCGUGAUGCUACUGAGACAACAAUGAUGGGAAUGAGUCCUCCUUACAUGUCAUGUCCCUUCCUGCAUUUGACAAACCCUGUGGCUACAGCUCUUAGAAAUCUCUCCAGCCAGUGGCAUCAAAAUGAAACCUGCUAAGCUGACAGUCACUCCAUCAGGAUGAGGCUUUAUAGCAGUUCAGGACAGUCAGCCUUUGAUCACAGCGCCGAAGAAAAUAUUGGCAACCCCUUUGGCCUGCCAGAUUUGUUUUCUAGAGUGAGAAACUUCAGAGAGCGAUCCUUGCUGAUUACACCUGUCAGUUAUCAACAGACAGGUCAAAAUGUCCCUUAUCCCCUGGCUUUGUCCCUCUUGUUUUUUUCAGGUAUCAGGACUGGUGAUAGUUUUUGGGAGCAUUAACAUUCAUCCCACAUUUAUUGGUGCCUGACCCAAGGCUCCUGGGUGUGACUGGCUGGUGUGUUUCCCAGGCAGUGGACCAGAUGAGAUGUGUGUCAUUGCUAAGAAGUGGAAGUGUGGAUCAUUUUCUGAGUUGCCUUCCCUACUCCUGUUCACCUUCUGACAUGCAGCAGCUAUCUGCCUGCAGAGAGGAACAGAAUGUGCCACAGUGAGUGAUGAAAGAAGAAAAGCAUCUCGUUCAGGAGUAAUUCAAAAGGAGCUCUUCUCUUUGCAUUGCUAAUCUUGAUGAGAUAUACAGAUCUUGAAUACACAAUCCAUUUUAAUAAAACUGUGGAGUAUAUGCAAAUGCUUUUUUUUAAUGUGGUCAGAUUUCUCAGAGCAUCUUUUUGAUUUAUUCAGUCAAUUUUCAACAAUCUAUCUAAACGUAUUUCUUAAAUAGCCACUUAACAAGUUAUUUUCCCUUUCUUACCAGCUCUUAGAUAGGUGGUCUGAAUUUGCUAAGAAAGUUGUUGGAGGACUAUUACAAAAUGAACUUUCAAGUCAAUGAAAGUUUUCUGUGUUGGUUAUGUGUGUUAGUGAUCAGUGAGAGCCUGAACUGACAUCUCUUGAGCAUACAUUAACCUCCUCACUCUUCCUGAUGAGUUAUUAGGAAGUUAAAAUUAAGUAUUUAAAAAAGCUGUCAAAGGUUUAUGCCUUCUGAAGAGACACAAAUAACGUUACAGUCAGUUAGUGAUGAGCAACUGCUUUCCUUUGCAUCACUUGUUUUUCUUGGGCUUUACUUUGCUCUCUGUUUCUUGGUUGUUGUUUUGUUUGUUUGUUUUUAACCUAAAAUUUUCCUGUUUAAUUAUUAAACUGCCUCCAUCUCAAUCCAGGAGUUUUCUCCCUUUCCCCCUCCAGAGUCUCCUUGCCAUUCCCCGAUGGGGGAGUGGUCAACAGGCUGUCUUGUGCCCAGCUGCUGGCCAGGGUUAAACCAUGGUUACAUGCUGAUGGUGAGAGUGCUCAUUCUUCUGCCUUUGCCAGGGUGUGGGUGUCCCCUGUGACGUAUCAGAACCUCAGCAGUCUGGCUGCUGUUGGAGCCACUCCAAAAACCUUCUGGGUGAGCCAAUGUAUUUGUACUGGCCAGCGUGGAAGUUUGGUUUACAGCAAUACCAUGAGGCGGGGGGUCCUGAAGAAACUUCCCAAGACUCAGAAAGCAAGGAUGAUGGCCACAGGCUGCACAUCUGGAGAGUGCUCUUUAUUCAUUAAUGUUAUUUCCUGAAGUUUGAAGACUAAUAAGAAGGGUUUGAAAAACAAAACACUCUCAGUAAGAAAAUGGUACCAUUUCUGUAGCCCACUUACAUUACAGGCCCUUUUUGCACAGGAUAAAGAGUUGACCCUAAAACAUCUUAUUCCUGAAGUCUUCUUUCUCCUAAACAAAGUAUAAAUACACAUUUUCACUUAUUAGUUUCACCUGCAUGUCUUUAAAAUACAAUUGCCUUAUGAACUCCUAUUUUCUAUAGAUAAAUACCACGGCCCUAUAAGCUGUUCAUCUUUCUGAUGGAAGAGGUGUCCUGUUGUCAGAGAAAUUGCUUUAGUUAAUUAUUUAAAUGUUUGACCAGAACUGGUUCUAAUACUACAAUUUCCCGUUAGUGGCCUAUUUGCACCUUGUAGUUAAACAGUAAAUAAACUAUGUUAAAGCACAAAUCCCUCUAGAACAAGGCAGGUUUCUUGGCUCGUUCUCUGCAGUCCCGUGCGCUGCAUGUCCCAUCCCCAUUACCUGACGAGCACCCUGCGGUGAUGCCGCGGUGAACGUCUGCUUCCCAGAGCUCCAGUGCAGGCAGCCAACAGUGCCUCCCAGGUGUGAAGUACAGCCUGCAUACAGGGUGCAAUCUGAGACAUCCUAAAGUAACCCCAUGCAUCCGUUUUCCAGAUCAGAGCCUAACAGAAAUAUAUAAAGCAAGAUGCGUUGGAGUCUGGCAAGGUGCGUCAGCGUCUGCCUAAACCCAUCUGAAUGCUCAGUAACUCAGUGUAUUCUAUUUAUGAUGUGUUUUCACAGAAGAGAAAAAGAAGCCCCCCACCCUCCCUUAAAAUUACUGAAGUCAUAGUGAUCUGUGCAUAAUUUCUGAAUGAUUUAUGGUCAUUAAAGGGGAUGUUCAGGCUAGUCUUCAGACGUUUUAUUCAUGGAAUAAACCUAGAUGGUUUUGUAAAGACAUAAGUACGAUUGUGCCACCCUACUUUUAGAAUGAAUGAAUGAUAAUGUAUGAAAUAUACAAGAAAAAUAUAUGAAAUAUAUCAAAAUGACUAUAUUUUAUGGUUUAUUUGUUAUAUUGUUACCACCAGCAUUUGGGAUUCUUCUACAGUGUAUACAUUUUUUGUUAAAUACUUUUUAUAAAAUAUGGAACCAUUUAAAAGAAUCCAUUUAAAAGAAAUUAGUUUUAUUAUUUUUGUAUAUUUUUAAUAUAAUUCUCCACUAUGUGCUGCAAUGGCAUAGAAAGUUGCAACUCUUUGUACCCAUGUUCUUCACUUUCUUCUGGAUUUUUGAAGGGAAAGGCUAGAAUUCUUAUUCCUAACCCACAAGAAAUACAAUUUUUCUGAUGCAGUCAUAGCUAUUGCUUUGCUGCUGCUUUACUAAAACCACAUCUAUUAACCACAGGUGAAUUACAAUGUAAGUACUUAUGAUAGACAAAAUGUAAAAGACAAAAGACACAUGCAGAGAGAGAAAUUACUUUCUUCAGGCCACAAGGCAGAUGUAGGAGCGGAGCUGGACCUAGAAAUCUGUAGGGCCAUAUCCUAUAAUCCAACAUGUUUCUUAGAAGUAAUAAAAUGUACAGUUUUCAGGGCUUUUGAUUUGUUUUCUACUGCCAUUCUGUUACCUGCUAUCAUACAUAAACAGUCUUUUGUUUUUCUCAGCAUGCCUUAUUAUUCAAUAAAAAUCCAAGUGGAACAUACAGCUUUCUAUGAAGAAACAUAGAUUUUGUAUAUAAGCUUCAAGACAGCACUUUAUUUUUCCCAUAUGGAAGAUAAUGGCUUAACAAUAAGGUUGCUUUUCCAACGCAGUAAGGGCAAUAAAGAUAAA